RNAcentral lists this unclassified non-coding RNA (204 nucleotides) under Ascomycota sp. RNAcentral's name for it is "partial contains small subunit ribosomal RNA, internal transcribed spacer 1, and 5.8S ribosomal RNA". The stretch from base 1 to 47 matches the Rfam family "Eukaryotic small subunit ribosomal RNA", at positions 1785 to 1831 of the family's 1831-position model. The record is from RNAcentral. Lineage: Eukaryota; Fungi; Ascomycota.
AAAGUCGUAACAAGGUCUCCGUAGGUGAACCUGCGGAGGGAUCAUUAGCGAACGGCCCUCUGGGCCCCCGAGCCACGCACCCGUGGAAGCUAGCCCGUGCUUUGGCGCCCUCGUUUGGCGCCGCCCCCAUGCGGCCGACCAGCCCGUGUCUGAAUCGAACCCAUAACUGAAAAAAAACUUUCAACAAAGAAUCUCUUGGCUCUC